Molecule: small RNA, 117 nt
Organism: Vibrio nigripulchritudo
Lineage: Bacteria; Pseudomonadati; Pseudomonadota; Gammaproteobacteria; Vibrionales; Vibrionaceae
Source: Rfam
GCCCAAAAAGAGCCCAGAACGAUUCCUGUUCUGGGCUAGGGGAAUGGCUCUUUUGUAAAGAGCCUGCGCUAAUUGCUUUUACUAAAGCAUAGUACACACAGGCUCAAAUACCACCAU